AGAGUUUGAUUCUGGCUCAGGAUGAACGCUAGCGAUAGGCCUAACACAUGCAAGUCGAGGGGCAGCACAUGAAGUAGCAAUACGGAUGGUGGCGACCGGCGCACGGGUGAGUAACGCGUAUGCAACCUGCCUACAACAGGGGAAUAACCCGUUGAAAGACGGACUAAUACCCCAUAACACAGGGAUCCCGCAUGGGAAUAUUUGUUAAAGAUUUAUCGGUUGUAGAUGGGCAUGCGUUCCAUUAGCUUGUUGGUGAGGUAACGGCUCACCAAGGCAACGAUGGAUAGGGGAACUGAGAGGUUUAUCCCCCACACUGGUACUGAGACACGGACCAGACUCCUACGGGAGGCAGCAGUGAGGAAUAUUGGUCAAUGGACGCAAGUCUGAACCAGCCACGUCGCGUGAAGGAAGACGGCCCUACGGGUUGUAAACUUCUUUUGUAAGGGAAUAAAGUGUAGUACGUGUACUAUUUUGCAUGUACCUUACGAAUAAGGAUCGGCUAACUCCGUGCCAGCAGCCGCGGUAAUACGGAGGAUCCGAGCGUUAUCCGGAUUUAUUGGGUUUAAAGGGUGCGCAGGCGGGAGAUUAAGUCGGCGGUGAAAUUUUGCAGCUCAACUGUAAAAGUGCCUUCGAAACUGGUUUUCUUGAGUGUGGAUGAAGUAGGCGGAAUUUGUGGUGUAGCGGUGAAAUGCAUAGAUAUCACGAGGAACUCCGAUUGCGCAGGCAGCUUACUAAACCAUAACUGACGCUCAGGCACGAAGGCGUGGGGAUCAAACAGGAUUAGAUACCCUGGUAGUC
This 798-nucleotide ribosomal RNA is filed under the name uncultured Porphyromonadaceae bacterium. RNAcentral's name for it is "bacterial SSU rRNA". It matches the Rfam family "Bacterial small subunit ribosomal RNA", at positions 8 to 795 of the family's 1533-position model. The record is from RNAcentral. Lineage: Bacteria; Pseudomonadati; Bacteroidota; Bacteroidia; Bacteroidales; Porphyromonadaceae.